Molecule: ribosomal RNA, 800 nt
Filed under: uncultured bacterium
Lineage: Bacteria
Description: bacterial SSU rRNA
Rfam family: Bacterial small subunit ribosomal RNA
Source: RNAcentral
AGAGUUUGAUCCUGGCUCAGAGCGAACGCUGGCGGCGUGCCUAACACAUGCAAGUCGAACGUGAAAGGGAGCAAUCCUGAGUAAAGUGGCGUACGGGUGAGUAACACGUAGGUAAUCUACCCCAGAAUCUGGAAUAACCUGCCGAGAGGCGGGCUAAUACUGGAUAGAGCGACGAAGCUCGUAAGAGAGUUUUUCGGGAAAGGGAGCCUGUAAGGGCCCUUGUUCUGGGAUGAGCCUGCGUCUCAUUAGCUAGUUGGUGGGGUAAUGGCCCACCAAGGCGAUGAUGAGUAGCUGGUCUGAGAGGAUGAUCAGCCACACUGGAACUGAAACACGGUCCAGACUCCUACGGGAGGCAGCAGUGGGGAAUCUUGCGCAAUGGACGAAAGUCUGACGCAGCCACGCCGCGUGAGUGAAGAAGGCCUUCGGGUUGUAAAGCUCUGUCGGGCGGGACGAACAUCUUUUUGGUGAAUAGCCAGAAGGACUGACGGUACCGCCAAAGGAAGCACCGGCUAACUCCGUGCCAGCAGCCGCGGUAAUACGGAGGGUGCAAGCGUUGCUCGGAAUUAUUGGGCGUAAAGGGCAAGUAGGUGGUCUCAUUUGUCUGGGGUGAAAGCCUUGAGCUUAACUUAAGAAGUGCCCCGGAAACGGUGAGACUCGAGUUCUGGAGAGGGUCGUGGAAUUCCCCGGUGUAGCGGUGAAAUGCGUAGAGAUCGGGAGGAACACCUGAGGCGAAGGCGGCGACCUGGACAGACACUGACACUCAACUGCGAAAGCGUGGGGAGCAAACAGGAUUAGAUACC